This 1409-nucleotide long non-coding RNA is filed under the name Bos taurus (domestic cattle). RNAcentral describes it as "long non-coding RNA NONBTAT019245". The record is from RNAcentral. Lineage: Eukaryota; Metazoa; Chordata; Mammalia; Artiodactyla; Bovidae.
AUUCCCCACUAAACCUGGUAGAUCAUAUGCAAAUCAUCCUUAUAACACACUGAGGAUUACUUCCCCUUAAGUGUGGUUAUCUUUCAAAAUUUAGAUACAGCAUAGUAUAAUGUAGUUCUGUACUAUGGAUCUAAUAUAGAAUCACACUAUAUUAGUAAAAGACUAAGGAUAAUAUAAAUAUAUUUAGUAAGAGACUAAAGAUAAUAUAAAAGGUCAGUGAAUCAUUCGUUUGACAAAAUCCUUUAGCUGCUUCAGGGUGACUAAUAUCAGGGCCCACAGUAAAAUAUGAAGUUUAGUAGUUUCAUAUUAGGGCAGAAAAUGUUCAGUAAUUACUAGUUAAGUACACAUUAAUUCAUUAAAAGCAUACCUAAAUGAAUGUCAUCAAAAAUGUCCACAAUUAGUGGUAAAAAAAAAUUUUCAAUAGAGAUAGUAAAGUACUAUUAUAUAAAAUGCGGAAUGUUUUUCUGCUAAUUCUAUCAAAAUUCAUCACUUUCAAGGAUCAGUCGACUGUCCUAUAGGACGUAGUAAAGCAAAAAACUCUCCAAGUAUUUAAUAGAGCACAUAAAUCCAGAUUUGAUGAGGAUAAUGACUUACUCUCUUUUAAAUGAAGGUUUUUGUCGUCUGGGUAAAUGACUUUAGUAUGGUCUUAAAACAGGCUUCACUGUCUAUUGUUCUUCAGUAACAGUAUACUUGUAUUUCAAGUGGGAAGUUUGUAGAUGAUACAAAGCAGAUUUUUUCCCAGAGUUCAGUUGUUUUCAAAUACCUUGAACUUCGGAGGAGUUUCUGUUACAUGUAAGAAGAUUUGGAAAUAAAUGACUGACCAGUUUUUAAUAUUUUUAAAAGUAUGGUAAUUAAGCAUUAAAUUUGCUAAUUGGUUAUUUUCAUAAUUGUUUUAAGUAUUAAUUUUUCACUUCCUUGAGCCUGUUAUACUGUAUUAUUACCAGAUUGAGGCUUGAAAAAUCCCUCAUUUGAUAGAUUAGAUGAAAUCCACCCUUUUAUUCAUUUAAAUUUUCAUUUCUUUAGAAUAUUUUCCUUCUUUAGAAUAUUGAAAAUUUCUACUUCUUUGUAUUUAUUGCCCAUCUUUAUUUCCUUGAUAACUAACUUCCACUUUCUAACUACUCCUAAUGCUGCCCUCACAAGAUUAAUUCAGCUAUUCUUAGUGAUUAGAGUUUGUAUAUAUCACUUACAUAAUUUUAUACCUAUUGAUAUUGUUUCCCUAUGAGAUUGGAAGUAAAAAUUUGUCUAAGAACAAUGCCUGCUGGCUCUCAGGAUACUUGACCUACUUAAAAGUCUGUAUGUUGGACUAAAUAUAACCUCUAUUAAUUAAAAAGAUGGCUUAUGUUUAUAUAUUGGAGUUGAAAUAGAAAUUUUAGUUCAGAUUAGAAUGAGAAAUUUUAUAAGUUCUAUUU